RNAcentral lists this transfer RNA (72 nucleotides) under Stegodyphus mimosarum. It matches the Rfam family "tRNA". From Rfam's summary of the family: Transfer RNA (tRNA) molecules are approximately 80 nucleotides in length. Their secondary structure includes four short double-helical elements and three loops (D, anti-codon, and T loops). Further hydrogen bonds mediate the characteristic L-shaped molecular structure. tRNAs have two regions of fundamental functional importance: the anti-codon, which is responsible for specific mRNA codon recognition, and the 3' end, to which the tRNAs corresponding amino acid is attached (by aminoacyl-tRNA synthetases). tRNAs cope with the degeneracy of the genetic code in two manners: having more than one tRNA (with a specific anti-codon) for a particular amino acid; and 'wobble' base-pairing, i.e. permitting non-standard base-pairing at the 3rd anti-codon position. Lineage: Eukaryota; Metazoa; Arthropoda; Arachnida; Araneae; Eresidae. The record is from Rfam by way of RNAcentral.
GCUUUCAUGGUGUAAAGGUAACACGCUUGGCGCGUAACUGAGAAGUCCAGGGUUCGAGUCUCUGCGAGCGCA